Molecule: ribosomal RNA, 520 nt
Filed under: uncultured bacterium
Lineage: Bacteria
Description: bacterial SSU rRNA
Rfam family: Archaeal small subunit ribosomal RNA
Source: RNAcentral
AACCUCCGCAAUGUGAGAAAUCGCGACGGGGGGAUCCCAAGUGCCAUUCUUAACGGGAUGGCUUUUCAUUAGUGUAAAGAGCUUUUGGAAUAAGAGCUGGGCAAGACCGGUGCCAGCCGCCGCGGUAACACCGGCAGCUCUAGUGGUAGCAAUUUUUAUUGGGCCUAAAGCGUCCGUAGCCGGUUUAAUAAGUCUCUGGUGAAAUCCUGUAGCUUAACUGUGGGAAUUGCUGGAGAUACUAUUAGACUUGAGACCGGGAGAGGUUAGAGGUACUCCCAGGGUAGAGGUGAAAUUCUGUAAUCCUGGGAGGACCGCCUGUUGCGAAGGCGUCUAACUGGAACGGUUCUGACGGUGAGGGACGAAGUUAGGGGCGCGAACCGGAUUAGAUACCCGGGUAGUCCUAACUGUAAACGAUGCGGACUUGGUGUUGGGGUGGGUUUGAGCUGCUCCAGUGCCGAAGGGAAGCUGUUAAGUCCGCCGCCUGGGAAGUACGGUCGCAAGACUGAAACUUAAAGGAAUU